UUUAGCCUCAGACCACGGUGGACU
RNAcentral lists this microRNA (24 nucleotides) under Arabidopsis thaliana (thale cress). Its description in RNAcentral is "ath-miR5639-3p". The record is from miRBase by way of RNAcentral. Lineage: Eukaryota; Viridiplantae; Streptophyta; Magnoliopsida; Brassicales; Brassicaceae.